This 493-nucleotide unclassified non-coding RNA is filed under the name Hevea brasiliensis (rubber tree). The record is from RNAcentral. Lineage: Eukaryota; Viridiplantae; Streptophyta; Magnoliopsida; Malpighiales; Euphorbiaceae.
CUUCGAGCCCUUAGUUCUCUCUGGUUGGCCCGGCCACGAGAAUGACGAAAUGAAAGCAAUAUAUUACCCCACUAGAAAGUUAUUUUGGAGAUUAACCCUAUGACCUUACUUGAUAACUUCUGAGUUUUCGUGAUAAUCGAUUAUGAUCCAAGUGUACGGAACUUGGAAAUCAUCUGCUGAACAAUUAUAAUGCAGUGAGGUCAUGGUUGUAGUUGUAGGUUUCCGCAUUCCGCAUUGCAGCUGUAACAUCAGGUGUGUCUUGUAGAUUUUAUGCUUAUCCUGUGUUGUAAGACAUUUAGUGCCAAUAAUUUGAUUAAGCUUCAUGUUUGUUAGAAGUGAUAAAGGAAGAAAAGGAGUGGUACAUGUAACAUAGCAUACAGAAUCAGAAUCAAGGUGUAGUUUACAGCUAUCAAUUUGUAUACUAAAAAUCAGAAUCAAGGUGUAGUUGCAUUUGGGUGUUCUUUAAGAUUUUUUUUUUUUUAUUAAACAAAAA